GGGACCUGAUGCAGCCAUGCCGCGUGUGUGAAGAAGGCCUUCGGGUUGUAAAGCACUUUCAGUUGUGAGGAAAAGUUAGUAGUUAAUACCUGCUAGCCGUGACGUUAACAACAGAAGAAGCACCGGCUAACUCCGUGCCAGCAGCCGCGGUAAUACGGAGGGUGCGAGCGUUAAUCGGAAUUACUGGGCGUAAAGCGCACGCAGGCGGUUUGUUAAGCUAGAUGUGAAAGCCCCGGGCUCAACCUGGGAUGGUCAUUUAGAACUGGCAGACUAGAGUCUUGGAGAGGGGAGUGGAAUUCCAGGUGUAGCGGUGAAAUGCGUAGAUAUCUGGAGGAACAUCAGUGGCGAAGGCGACUCCCUGGCCAAAGACUGACGCUCAUGUGCGAAAGUGUGGGUAGCGAACAGGAUUAGAUACCCUGGUAGUCCACACCGUAAACGCUGUCUACUAGCUGUUUGUGACUUUAAGYCGUGAGUAGCGAAGCUAACGCGAUAAGUAGACCGCCUGGGGAGUACGGCCGCAAGGUUAAAACUCAAUG
RNAcentral lists this ribosomal RNA (536 nucleotides) under Alteromonas sp. RNAcentral describes it as "bacterial SSU rRNA". It matches the Rfam family "Bacterial small subunit ribosomal RNA", at positions 374 to 906 of the family's 1533-position model. Lineage: Bacteria; Pseudomonadati; Pseudomonadota; Gammaproteobacteria; Alteromonadales; Alteromonadaceae. The record is from RNAcentral.